Molecule: ribosomal RNA, 439 nt
Filed under: uncultured bacterium
Lineage: Bacteria
Description: partial 16S ribosomal RNA
Rfam family: Bacterial small subunit ribosomal RNA
Source: RNAcentral
CUACGGGUGGCUCCAGUGAGGAAUAUUGCACAAUGGGGGGAACCCUGAUGCAGCAACGCCGCGUGGAGGAUGACGCAUUUCGGUGUGUAAACUCCUUUUAUAUGUCAAGAAAAUGACGGUAGCAUAUGAAUAAGCACCGGCUAACUCCGUGCCAGCAGCCGCGGUAAUACGGAGGGUGCAAGCGUUACUCGGAAUCACUGGGCGUAAAGGACGCGUAGGCGGGUUGGAAAGUCAGGUGUGAAAUCCUACAGCUUAACUGUAGAACUGCACUUGAAACUUCUAAGCUAGAGUAUGGGAGGGGGAGAUGGAAUUAGCGGUGUAGGGGUAAAAUCCGUAGAUAUCACUAGGAAUACCUAAAGCGAAGGCGAUCUCCUGGAACAUUACUGACGCUAAGGCGUGAAAGCGUGGGGAGCAAACAGGAUUAGAUACCCCAGUAGUC